Transfer RNA from Anaeromyces robustus, 72 nucleotides. It matches the Rfam family "tRNA". From Rfam's summary of the family: Transfer RNA (tRNA) molecules are approximately 80 nucleotides in length. Their secondary structure includes four short double-helical elements and three loops (D, anti-codon, and T loops). Further hydrogen bonds mediate the characteristic L-shaped molecular structure. tRNAs have two regions of fundamental functional importance: the anti-codon, which is responsible for specific mRNA codon recognition, and the 3' end, to which the tRNAs corresponding amino acid is attached (by aminoacyl-tRNA synthetases). tRNAs cope with the degeneracy of the genetic code in two manners: having more than one tRNA (with a specific anti-codon) for a particular amino acid; and 'wobble' base-pairing, i.e. permitting non-standard base-pairing at the 3rd anti-codon position. The record is from Rfam. NCBI's taxonomy places the organism in Eukaryota, Fungi, Neocallimastigomycota, Neocallimastigomycetes, Neocallimastigales, Neocallimastigaceae.
GGUUCUAUAGUGUAGCGGUUAGCACAUUGGACUUUGAAUCCAAUAACUCGAGUUCAAAUCUCGAUAGGACCU